Aedes aegypti (yellow fever mosquito) is the source of this 226-nucleotide long non-coding RNA. RefSeq lists it as uncharacterized. Lineage: Eukaryota; Metazoa; Arthropoda; Insecta; Diptera; Culicidae. The record is from RefSeq and is a predicted model, not a curated record. The transcript has 2 exons.
CCAAGAAGCUGCUGCUGCUGGACUUCAAACUAAUUUUAAGAACAAUUCCAAGAACGUUGAUUGUUUUGAAUGGAACUGACCCUGGACAAAUUUGCGAGGAACGUGCGUUUCAUGGACUGUUCCGACGAUCGAUAUCGCGAUGGUGGUCAGUCAGUGUUUUGAAAUAAUUAAUGGAAUAUAAUAGUUUAAUCCCUUAGUUAUUUGUCCUUCUUUCAAAAUAAACAUA